This is a long non-coding RNA of Erigeron canadensis, 448 nucleotides long. RefSeq lists it as uncharacterized. NCBI's taxonomy places the organism in Eukaryota, Viridiplantae, Streptophyta, Magnoliopsida, Asterales, Asteraceae. The transcript is spliced from 2 exons. The record is from RefSeq and is a predicted model, not a curated record.
GUAGAAUCAGAUCCUCAUAACUGUUUCUUUCAUUCGUCAACUCCCUGCUUUUCCAAAAGACAUUAACCCUUUACAUUUCUCUGAUUCUUACAAAUCUCAACCACUGGAAGGUUAAUUGGCUAUAAACUCUCACCAUCUUAAAUUUCAUGUGGUUUUCAAUAAGUAACAAAUCAAAGGCCAACUGAAUGACGGGACCAAAUGCGCUAUGCCAGUUUUGACCUCGGUCAUAGCUGAUCGACUUCCCUACUUUCUGCCACAUAAUAUAAAAACGUAACAGCUGUUACCAUUACGUUGCGGACACUUGGCAUGUGAAGCUUGUUUUAAGUUUUGGGGAAUAAUUAAUGUCCUGAAAAGGGUGAACAAAGUUUUGAUAUGUGAAUUGUCACGUUGUCAGUUUGCUCUACAUGUAGAACUUGACGUCUUGACGAAAAUGAAUUCUGUUUCUAUA